GAUUGAACGCUGGCGGCAUGCCUUACACAUGCAAGUCGAACGGCAGCACGGGUGCUUGCACCUGGUGGCGAGUGGCGAACGGGUGAGUAAUACAUCGGAACAUGUCCUGUAGUGGGGGAUAGCCCGGCGAAAGCCGGAUUAAUACCGCAUACGAUCUACGGAUGAAAGCGGGGGACCUUCGGGCCUCGCGCUAUAGGGUUGGCCGAUAGCUGAUUAGCUAGUUGGUGGGGUAAAGGCCUACCAAGGCGACGAUCAGUAGCUGGUCUGAGAGGACGACCAGCCACACUGGGACUGAGACACGGCCCAGACUCCUACGGGAGGCAGCAGUGGGGAAUUUUGGACAAUGGGCGAAAGCCUGAUCCAGCAAUGCCGCGUGUGUGAAGAAGGCCUUCGGGUUGUAAAGCACUUUUGUCCGGAAAGAAAUCCUUGGCUCUAAUACAGUCGGGGGAUGACGGUACCGGAAGAAUAAGCACCGGCUAACUACGUG
Molecule: ribosomal RNA, 487 nt
Filed under: uncultured bacterium
Lineage: Bacteria
Description: partial 16S ribosomal RNA
Rfam family: Bacterial small subunit ribosomal RNA
Source: RNAcentral